AAAAGAGUGAAAAUAUCUUAUUAUAGGACAAUCAUACAACUUCAUCACAUAGAGCUUUGAAGCGUACAACUUUUAGACAUUCAACUUUUACGCAUACAAACUUUGACAUACAUACGUAGAAAUAACUUAUUAUAGGACCAAACAGUUGUCCAACACCUGGUUCGAUUGACCAAUGAUCAACCAUUAUGCAUAUAUGGAAAAUAACUUAUUUCACCACCACAAAUCAUGCAUGAUUAACUAUCCUCAGAUUCUUCUCCCUCAUGUGUUUUGCCACCACCCCCACUACUAAUUCGACCCCUGCCACUGCGGUUAUUGUCCUUAUUAACUUUCUCACCACCAAUCUGUAUAAAAAGAACGUCUGAUGGUGGAACAGUGGUUGACGUAUCUUCUGCAGCGGGUAGGGGUUCGAUAGUGUUUGGUUCAGCAGGUAGCGGUUCAGUAGUGGUUGUUUCAGCGGGUAGGGGUUCGAUAGUGGUUGGUUCAGUGGGUAGGGGUUCGAUAGUGGGUUAUUCAGAACCUCUUCACCGCCAGCAACAGAUUUUGCUUCCAUAUUUAACUGAAGGUGUAGAGAAU
RNAcentral lists this long non-coding RNA (573 nucleotides) under Helianthus annuus (common sunflower). RNAcentral describes it as "hypothetical non coding rna". The record is from RNAcentral. Lineage: Eukaryota; Viridiplantae; Streptophyta; Magnoliopsida; Asterales; Asteraceae.